This 76-nucleotide transfer RNA is filed under the name Pythium insidiosum. Its description in RNAcentral is "tRNA-Glu". It matches the Rfam family "tRNA". Rfam says of the family: Transfer RNA (tRNA) molecules are approximately 80 nucleotides in length. Their secondary structure includes four short double-helical elements and three loops (D, anti-codon, and T loops). Lineage: Eukaryota; Oomycota; Peronosporomycetes; Pythiales; Pythiaceae. The record is from RNAcentral.
GCGCGGUUGGCGCAAUGAUAGCGUAUCAGACCUUCGAAUUGGCCGGGUUGCGGGUGUUCGAGUCCCGCAUCGCGUA